RNAcentral lists this ribosomal RNA (282 nucleotides) under Penicillium roseopurpureum. Its description in RNAcentral is "partial 28S ribosomal RNA". It matches the Rfam family "Eukaryotic large subunit ribosomal RNA", at positions 80 to 360 of the family's 3401-position model. The record is from RNAcentral. Lineage: Eukaryota; Fungi; Ascomycota; Eurotiomycetes; Eurotiales; Aspergillaceae.
CUAGUACGGCGAGUGAGCGGCAAGAGCUCAAAUUUGAAAGCUGGCCCCCGCGGGGUCCGCAUUGUAAUUUGCAGAGGAUGCUUCGGGAGCGGUCCCCAUCUAAGUGCCCUGGAACGGGCCGUCAUAGAGGGUGAGAAUCCCGUAUGGGAUGGGGUGCCCGCGCCCGUGUGAAGCUCCUUCGACGAGUCGAGUUGUUUGGGAAUGCAGCUCUAAUUGGGUGGUAAUUUUCAUCUAAAGCUAAAUAUGGGCCGGAGACCGAUAGCGCACAAGUAGAGUGAUCGA